GCAUUAAUGGGGUAGUGGUAACCUGGGUCGUUGCCAUUAGAAGAUUCAACUGGAGUCUCGACCCGCCGGGGGUUCGAUUCCCCCUUAAUGCA
Roridomyces roridus is the source of this 92-nucleotide non-coding RNA. The record is from the annotation of a GenBank genome assembly. NCBI's taxonomy places the organism in Eukaryota, Fungi, Basidiomycota, Agaricomycetes, Agaricales, Mycenaceae.